CCCUUAGAUGUUCUGGGCCGCACGCGCGCUACACUGAAUGGAUCAACGUGUUUUCCCUUCCCGAGAGGGACGGGUAACCCGCUGAACCCCAUUCGUGGUAGGGAUCGGAGCUUGCAAUUGUUCUCCGUGAACCAGGAAUUCCCAGUAAGCGCAAGUCAUAAGCUUGCGUUGAUUACGUCCCUGCCCUUUGUACACACCGCCCGUCGCUACUACCGAUUGAAUGGUCCGGUGAAAUCUUCGGAUCUGAGAGAUGUCUGAUUAAUUUCGGACGCCUUUUGGAAAAGUUGCUUAAACCUUACCAUUUAGAGGAAGGUGAAGUCGUANCA
RNAcentral lists this ribosomal RNA (326 nucleotides) under uncultured eukaryote. RNAcentral's name for it is "partial 18S ribosomal RNA". It matches the Rfam family "Eukaryotic small subunit ribosomal RNA", at positions 1470 to 1796 of the family's 1831-position model. The record is from RNAcentral.